Acanthosepion pharaonis is the source of this 114-nucleotide non-coding RNA. The record is from the annotation of a GenBank genome assembly. NCBI's taxonomy places the organism in Eukaryota, Metazoa, Mollusca, Cephalopoda, Sepiida, Sepiidae.
UACGGCCAUAUCAGGUUGAAAAAAUCGGUUCCCGUACGAUCAUUGGAGUUAAGCAACGUCAAUCCUGGUCAUUACCAAUAUUGGUGACCGCUUGGGAAUAUCAGGUGUUGUAAG